AGAGCAUUGAGAGGACCUUUCCCUAGUACGAACCAGGAAGGACGCACCUCUCGUGCCCACGGUAAACGCUGGGUAGCCAAGUGCGGAGCAGAUAAUUGCUGAAAGCAUCUAAGUAGUAAGCCCACCCUAAGAUGAGUGCUCU
This is a ribosomal RNA of Gossypium raimondii (Peruvian cotton), 142 nucleotides long. It matches the Rfam family "Bacterial large subunit ribosomal RNA", at positions 2656 to 2814 of the family's 2925-position model. Lineage: Eukaryota; Viridiplantae; Streptophyta; Magnoliopsida; Malvales; Malvaceae. The record is from Rfam.